RNAcentral lists this ribosomal RNA (450 nucleotides) under Gracilibacillus thailandensis. RNAcentral describes it as "bacterial SSU rRNA". It matches the Rfam family "Bacterial small subunit ribosomal RNA", at positions 311 to 752 of the family's 1533-position model. The record is from RNAcentral. Lineage: Bacteria; Bacillati; Bacillota; Bacilli; Caryophanales; Bacillaceae.
AACUGGGACUGAGACACGGUCCAGAUCACUACGGGAGGCAGCAGUAGGGAAUCUUCCGCAAUGGACGAAAGUCUGACGGAGCAACGCCGCGUGAACGAAGAAGGUUUUCGGAUCGUAAAGUUCUGUUGUUAGGGAAGAACAAGUACCGUUCAAAUAGGGCGGUACCUUGACGGUACCUAUCGAGGAAGCCCCGGCUAACUACGUGCCAGCAGCCGCGGUAAUACGUAGGGGGCAAGCGUUGUCCGGAAUUAUUGGGCGUAAAGCGCGCGUAGGCGGUUUCUUAAGUCUGAUGUGAAAUCUUGCGGCUCAACCGCAAGCGGUCAUUGGAAACUGGGGAACUUGAGUGCAGAAGAGGAGAGCGGAAUUCCACGUGUAGCGGUGAAAUGCGUAGAUAUGUGGAGGAACACCAGUGGCGAAGGCGGCUCUCUGGUCUGUAACUGACGCUGAGGU